ACAUUUCUUGGACCAUGAUGCUCAAAUGUGAACACAGGGGCUGAACUCAUUUUUUUUCACCAGGGCAAAAUAGAGGAAAACUGUAGCUUCACAGCCCAAAGAAACACUUGCCCACCAGUGCAACUUAAAAUAGUGGUUCCAUUAACUUUCCAGAUGCAACAUUGCCCUUGCGUUCUUUAUUUCCUCACAGAAGCAUUUCUUUCUUGCCUUUCUCCAUCUUAUGUUUUAGCAUGCAGUCCUGAAGGAGGCCAUUUUAAGUGCUCUUUAUUUAUUGCCUUCCGUGGAAGAAGCAUCUUUCUUUUUAAUCACCUCAGCGCAAGCUCUAAGUUUUGGUUUAUGCCAAAUAAAACCUGCUAGCUGCAAGUCUCUUUGUUGUUCUUAUUGGGAGAAAGACCAAACAUAUUGUACAGCAUUGAUUUUUUUGACUUUGUUGGAUUAUGAUGGCCCAGGACAAACAACCGUGUGUUUAAAAAGCUUUUUUAAAGGAGUGGGCAAAAUUUCUGGACUGUAAAUGUUUGGAUCCAACGAGGAAAACCAUACCAGCCCUUCCAUCAAUGAGUUUUAUUGGAAUAUCAUUUUAACUAUGAAUGGUAAUUCAGAAAGCCUGGUGUGUCCGCGGAGUGGAGGGGGGAGGGAGGUGCUUGGCCCCUCCCCUCCCAGGUUUAUUGAUCGUUUUAAGUAUAGGCGGGCAGACCGACUGUGUGGUGUUGAGUGUGAGUCCUAUACGUCAGAACGGGGUGAUCAACUAGUGUCUCCUGCACACACACACACACGCAGUUACACUUCCUGCGCCCCCUCUUUUUUGUCUUUUACCUAAGAAAUGAGGCUCGUCGGGAUGAGAUAAGGGAGCGUGGGCUCAGUCCCGGGUGGAGAUCGGCGAGUCUGGAGCGGGGAGGGGGCCACACGCAAAACGCCCCUACCCCCUCAGAGGGCCGCCAAAGGCAGCCGUCUAGAGCCCCGAAGACCUACCUCAUCGGGUUGCUCGGGGUGACGAGCGUGCCUAGGACUGCGGGGCUGUGGUGGGGGUUGGGCAAAGCUCGGGCAGGUCGCACACCUGCCGGCCGGGGAUGUUAGGUCCCUCUCCCGCCUCCGCUCGAUCAGCCUUCGAGACCCUUCAGGAGCAAAGAGGGCUGCGAGGGGGAGAGAAGUCCCCGGGCAGGGGGCAGGUGAACCUGGCCUGGCUGGGAGGAAAAGCGGGAGGAAAGGACGCGGAGCAUCGGAAUCCACGCGAAGAGAAGCCUGAACGUAUUGAAGCGUGCUUGUGGAUGGAUGGAUGGAGAGAGAGAGAGAGAGAGAGAGGAUGAUGAUGGAGGGGCUGGACGGGUCGAUGGAUGGAGAGAGAGAGAGAGAGAGAGGACGAUGAUGGAGGGGCUGGACGGGCUGGAGCCUGCCCAUGGGGUUCUCGGUGAAGACCAGCCGCGUAGAAAGUGGACAUUGAUCAGGCAUUGAUCCCGCCCCGGCCAGCCUGGGGGAAGCAUCCGUAAACCCUCCUUCUCGGCGGAGGGAGAAGAGCCACUUGUGAGACCGCUCCCGGCGCUACUGCUUUUAUUGCUUGCAAAGCAGGUGAUCGGUGCGCGCGCUUCCUCCUCCUCCUCCUCCGCCGCCGCCAUCCCGUCCUUUCACUCACCCCAGCCCCAAACGCGCUCCCUUCUUUCCCUUCCCACCCUACCCCCGGCUGGACGACUCCCUCCUCCGGAGAGAACACGCCCAAGGAAGCAGGAGAAGCGCGAGGGAGGGAAAGAAAAUAGACAGUAACGUUGAACCUGAGGGGAAAGCCUCCCGAGCCGCCGCCGCUGCCGCCGCGAAGAGGAGCCGGG
Pogona vitticeps (central bearded dragon) is the source of this 1817-nucleotide long non-coding RNA. The record is from Ensembl. Lineage: Eukaryota; Metazoa; Chordata; Lepidosauria; Squamata; Agamidae.